UACGUAGGCAGCAAACGUUGUUCGGAGUUACUGGGCGUAAAGAGUACGUAGGCGGUUUGCUAAGUUUGGUGUGAAAUCUCCUGGCUUAACUGGGAGGGUGCGCCGAAUACUGGCGAGCUUGAGUGUUGGAGAGGAUAGCGGAAUUCCUGGUGUAGCGGUGAAAUGCGUAGAUAUCAGGAGGAACACCGGUGGUGUAGACGGCUAUCUGGACAACAACUGACGCUGAGGUACGAAAGCGUGGGUAGCAAACAGG
RNAcentral lists this ribosomal RNA (253 nucleotides) under uncultured bacterium. Its description in RNAcentral is "partial 16S ribosomal RNA". It matches the Rfam family "Bacterial small subunit ribosomal RNA", at positions 524 to 776 of the family's 1533-position model. The record is from RNAcentral.